RNAcentral lists this ribosomal RNA (880 nucleotides) under uncultured Brevibacterium sp. RNAcentral describes it as "bacterial SSU rRNA". It matches the Rfam family "Bacterial small subunit ribosomal RNA", at positions 46 to 934 of the family's 1533-position model. Lineage: Bacteria; Bacillati; Actinomycetota; Actinomycetes; Micrococcales; Brevibacteriaceae. The record is from RNAcentral.
GCUUAACACAUGCAAGUCGAACGCUGGAGCCUGGUGCUUGCACCGGGUGGAUGAGUGGCGAACGGGUGAGUAACACGUGAGUAACCUGCCCCUGACUUCGGGAUAAGCCCGGGAAACUGGGUCUAAUACCGGAUACGACUGCCGGACGCAUGUCUGGUGGUGGAAAGUUUUUUCGGUUGGGGAUGGGCUCGCGGCCUAUCAGUUUGUUGGUGAGGUAAUGGCUCACCAAGACGACGACGGGUAGCCGGCCUGAGAGGGCGACCGGCCACACUGGGACUGAGACACGGCCCAGACUCCUACGGGAGGCAGCAGUGGGGAAUAUUGCACAAUGGGGGAAACCCUGAUGCAGCGACGCAGCGUGCGGGAUGACGGCCUUCGGGUUGUAAACCGCUUUCAGCAGGGAAGAAGCGCAAGUGACGGUACCUGCAGAAGAAGUACCGGCUAACUACGUGCCAGCAGCCGCGGUAAUACGUAGGGUACGAGCGUUGUCCGGAAUUAUUGGGCGUAAAGAGCUCGUAGGUGGUUGGUCACGUCUGCUGUGGAGACGCAACGCUUAACGUUGCGCGUGCAGUGGGUACGGGCUGACUAGAGUGCAGUAGGGGAGUCUGGAAUUCCUGGUGUAGCGGUGAAAUGCGCAGAUAUCAGGAGGAACACCGGUGGCGAAGGCGGGACUCUGGGCUGUAACUGACACUGAGGAGCGAAAGCAUGGGGAGCGAACAGGAUUAGAUACCCUGGUAGUCCAUGCCGUAAACGUUGGGCACUAGGUGUGGGGGGCAUUCCACGUUCUCCGCGCCGUAGCUAACGCAUUAAGUGCCCCGCCUGGGGAGUACGGUCGCAAGGCUAAAACUCAAAUGAAUUGACGGCCAUNACACUGGCGGCC